UUACCAUCAUCACCACCACCACCAUCACAAUUACCACCAUCAUUGCCAUCAUUGUGGGAUGAGUCUCAACACUGUCCUCAUCAUGUGUGACCUGGACUGUGGGCCAGCCCCUCGGGCUCUGCUCUGCUAACCUACAUUCUUUGUCUCUGGUUCCUGAGGAGCUGGGAGUUGAGACCCAGUAAGGUGUUGUAGAGACGCUUGUGACUCCAAAUUCCACGAGAAAGAGGACCUCCCAUUUUCUUUCCUUGUUACAGUAUGUCAUCUUCCUGCACAAGUGGAUAAACCUUGACGUCUGUCUCCAUUUCCCAAAAGAGUUACCAAGGGGGCGCUUUCCGAACUACCUGGCUCAGACUUCUUUUCCAGCGUGGCCUGGAGCCAUGCUCACUUCAAACGCUUUCGCCAGCUCAGACUGCCAUAGCAGAAUGCCACAGGCUGCAUGCUUUCAACAAGAGGAGUUUGUUUCUCACACAGUUCUGGAGGCUGGAAUUCCAAGAUCAAGGGCCUAUGACCAUGUCUGAUGUUCAGGGAAUGAAGGAGUGAAGAAAGUAGGAAUGAAGGAAGGAAGGAAGUAGCUCCAGCAGUUGGUUCCCAGGCAAGAAGCUGGUGGGGUUCUGACUUCUACCCUGAUUCACACCCUUUCCUCCUGCCCUCAGAGUGGUCCUUCUCCUGCUCUUGUUCAUUCAUCCCCUUUAGCCCUUUUGUAUUCUCUUCUGUAGCUGAACCACAAACAACAAACACAUGAUAAAUAUUU
Non-coding RNA from Macaca mulatta (Rhesus monkey), 751 nucleotides. The record is from RefSeq and is a predicted model, not a curated record. NCBI's taxonomy places the organism in Eukaryota, Metazoa, Chordata, Mammalia, Primates, Cercopithecidae.